GCCGAUGAGGACGUGCGUAUGAUCGCCGCUGAGGCCCCCGUGGUGUUCGCUCGUGCCUGCGAGAUGUUCAUCCUGGAGCUGACACACCGCUCCUGGGGCCAUGCCGAGGAGAACAAGCGCAGGACUCUGCAGAAGAAUGAUAUCGCUGCCGCUAUAACCCGUACUGACGUGUUUGAUUUUCUGGUUGAUAUUGUGCCGAGGGAGGAGGGGAGGGAGGACGUACUGCCACGGGCCGCACUCGGGGCGCCAGCGGGCGACCCACUUUCUUACUAUUAUGUGCAGCAGUAGAGGUGGUGAGGCUUCUUUGCAUGUUGUGUGCUUCCUGCUGGGGCUGUUGUUGUUGGUACUAGUUAUGUUUGUGUUUUUCUUUUGUUGUUUUU
RNAcentral lists this unclassified non-coding RNA (380 nucleotides) under Hevea brasiliensis (rubber tree). The record is from RNAcentral. Lineage: Eukaryota; Viridiplantae; Streptophyta; Magnoliopsida; Malpighiales; Euphorbiaceae.